Molecule: ribosomal RNA, 1143 nt
Filed under: Triticum aestivum (bread wheat)
Lineage: Eukaryota; Viridiplantae; Streptophyta; Magnoliopsida; Poales; Poaceae
Description: partial small subunit ribosomal RNA
Source: RNAcentral
AUGGGGAGGGUGCAGCAAGCCAUGCGCGCCGCCAAGGUCCCCCGCCACGCUCUCGUCCCGAAGCCCUCCGCGGCGUCCACCCCGACGCCCCCUCCCCCGCCACCACGUGGGCCUCGUCCCGCCGACGGUAAACCUCCCCACGGCAAGCCGCCACGGAGAACCCCCAGGGCCGCCUCCGAGCACGCGGGGGCCCUGGCCCUGCCGGACCGGCCGGCGCCUCCGGCCGAGAAGAGGCCCAUCACCACGCCCGCGGAGCUCUCGGCCGCCAUCCGCGCCGCGGUGGACGCCGACGUGGACGCGGCCGCCUCGCUCGCGCUCAAGGCCGCGCCCACCAUCCCGCUCCCGGCGCAGUCGCUCGCGCUCCUCCUCCGCCGCCUCGCCGCGCACCGCUCCGUGGCCGCGGCGCGGGACCUCCUCGCGGCGCUCCCGUACUCCGCCGACAACCCCGCGCCGCGCCCGGCGCUCCUGGCCCUCGCCGACGCGUGCUGCCGCCGCGGCGACCCGCGCGAGAUCGGGCAGCUCCUGCCCGUCCUCGCCGACCACGGCGUCCGCGCCGACGCCCACGUCUACAACGCCCUCAUGAAGGGCCACUGCGCCGACUCCGACACCGUGGGGCUCCUCGGCGUGCUCCGCCGGAUGAAGGACGACGGUGUGGACCCCGACAUCGUCACCUACAACACCCUCGUCUACGGCCUCGCGCGCGCCGGGCUCGUCGCCAAGGCCAGGACCUACCUCGACGCCAUGGCUGCCGAGGGCCUCUUCCCGGACGUCAUCACCUACACGUCGCUCAUGAACGGGAUGUGCGUCAAGGGCGACGCCCUGGGCGCGCUCAAGCUGCUCGAGGAAAUGGAGGCCAAUGGGUGCGAGCCCAAUGACAGGACGUACAACACGCUGCUCAUGGGGCUCUGCAGGAACAGGAAGCUGGACAAGGCCGUCGAGGUGUACAAGUCCAUGGUAGGGGCUGGGAUGAAGCUCGAGCCGCCGGCGUACGCGACGUUCAUCAGGGCAUUGUGUCGGGCGGGGAGGGUUCCGGAUGCAUAUGAGGUGUUUGAUUACGGGAUCGAGAGCAAGAGCAUUCCGCAGGCAACCGCGUACAGUGAGCUCGAGAGCUCACUCAAGUGGCUGCGCAAGAUGAAGGAGUAG